UCUCUCUCUCUCUCUCUCUCUCUCUCUCUCUAUCUCGUGACUCUCCGCGGACUUUAGUGUGUGUGACCCUUCUGGUAUGCACAUAUGCUGCGGUAAUCAUUCUACACCUGCAGCAAAACAAGGACAACAACUAAGCGCAUGACACCUGCCUAGAUCUAGAAGAAAUAUAAGAAGUUUCCGCUAUCGAAUUGGCGGCGCUGCUGACGUCGACUUGACGUAGCUGUACAUUCAAAUUUGAACUUCAGUCAAGUAUCAAAGCUGAAAGGAUUAACAUGUUCUGCACCUCUAGGCAGCUAGUGUCUAGAUUUUUUAUCAAAUGUAAUAUCCAGACCGUGAACCAAUUGAACUAUUAUUUAAAUUAUUGUGAUCAGUAACUAGUUCGAACUGAAUGGAAAAUUAGCAAUUGGACCAAUUAGUGUGCCAAUUUUUACACAAUGGCAGUGCAGCAACAACAAAAUUCAUCAUUCCUCGACGAUCAUGUACCAGAUCCCCAGCCAUUGAAUUUUUGUAUGCCAAAUCCACAAACAUAUAAAAUUCAAGGCAAUAUCAGCAGCGAAACAAGCUCAGGUGCUAAUCGUUCGCUACAUGUAAAAAAAAACGACAGCACCUAAAGCCGAUAUCAAUGUUGCCCUGUUUACAUUAUGUACACAAAAUGGUCAACCUACGAAAGGUACUAAUCGACCUCAUCCUUAUCGCCAUCGACAUCGUUUCAUACCCCUCUGCGACGUUAUUGAUAAAAAAAGCAAGAUGGCGACCAUGACUCAAACUCUGGAACAGGAUUGCGUGACUACAACGAUUUAAUUAUAACGGUACGUUGGCGUGGUAUCGAGCGCAGUACGAUGGCGACAUGGCCGUUUUACCUACUUGGCUGACUUGGAGACGUGUGCACAAUGAGUUGUGUCUGUCGCUCAAACACCGUCAAUAUCUAAAGGAAUCGAAAUCAAGAAUAAAAUCGCUAUCACUUGACUUUAUGAGAUUUUCCCCACGGUUUGCAAUUUUUAAAUGGCUUAAAGGGAUUUUGAAUUUAACCAUUGAGACUAACGAAACCCCUGAUAAAACGAAUUUAUUUUCGUCGAAAAAGGAAACACGUUACAAUAUGGGUGAGGUAAUAUUACCAGAUCAACAGUACGAAAACCCACAUACAAAUGAAUUUAAUAAAAGCAAGCACAGCAAAAGGAAAACGAUAUCUGAAACAUUUAUCGACAACAAUUGCAUUUGACGCCGACGCAAAAAAGUUGCAACUUAGUAUGCAAAGGAUAUUAUUAAAACGGAGAACGAGCUUCUCGAGCUGAAAAAUGAGAUGGAACAAUUUACAUUCCUAAUAAACAACCUUAAGCAAAUGGUAUUGCAAAAAAGUACAAAAACGGUUGAGGAAAUUAAGUCCGUUAUAAUAUUUAUGAAUUCUGCGACAAUAAUGCAAGCAUGUUAGAUUACCUCUGUAUUAUAAGUUUACCAAUAAAAUUUUUGUAAUACUAAUAGUA
Molecule: long non-coding RNA, 1481 nt
Organism: Drosophila mojavensis
Lineage: Eukaryota; Metazoa; Arthropoda; Insecta; Diptera; Drosophilidae
Exons: 4
Source: RefSeq, a predicted model, not a curated record